This 200-nucleotide unclassified non-coding RNA is filed under the name soil metagenome. RNAcentral describes it as "partial contains internal transcribed spacer 2 and large subunit ribosomal RNA". The record is from RNAcentral.
UACACCACUCAAGCGUAGCUUGGUAUUGGGCCCUCGCUCCCCCCGCCAAGGGGGGCGUGCCUGAAAAGCAGUGGCGGUCCGGUGCGGCUUUGAGCGUAGUAAAACUUUUCGCUCUGAAAGAUCCACACCGUGGCCCGCCAGAAAACGCCACCUUUUUGACGAUUGACCUCGGAUCAGACAGGGAUACCCGCUGAACUUAA